UACCAGCACCCCGAGUGGUCGGGACGUUUAUUGGGCCUAAAGCAUCCGUAGCCGGUUCUACAAGUCUUCCGUUAAAUCCAGCUGCUUAACAGAUGGGCUGCGGAAGAUACUAUGGAGCUAGGAGGCGGGAGAGGCAAGCGGUACUCGAUGGGUAGGGAUAAAAUCCGUUGAUCCAUUGAAGACCACCAGUGGCGAAGGCGGUUUCCUGGAGCUAACUUGACGCUGAGACGCGAAAGCUGGGGGAGCAAACGGG
This 253-nucleotide ribosomal RNA is filed under the name uncultured bacterium. RNAcentral describes it as "partial 16S ribosomal RNA". It matches the Rfam family "Archaeal small subunit ribosomal RNA", at positions 474 to 727 of the family's 1478-position model. The record is from RNAcentral.